GCGACUAAGCGUACACGGUGGAUGCCCUGGCAGUCAGAGGCGAUGAAGGACGUGCUAAUCUGCGAUAAGCGCCGGUAAGGUGAUAUGAACCGUUAUAACCGGCGAUUUCCGAAUGGGGAAACCCAGUGUGAUUCGUCACACUAUCAUUAACUGAAUCCAUAGGUUAAUGAGGCGAACCGGGGGAACUGAAACAUCUAAGUACCCCGAGGAAAAGAAAUCAACCGAGAUUCCCCCAGUAGCGGCGAGCGAACGGGGAGGAGCCCAGAGCCUGAAUCAGCAUGUGUGUUAGUGGAAGCGUCUGGAAAGGCGCGCGAUACAGGGUGACAGCCCCGUACACAAAAGCGCAUGUGCUGUGAGCUCGAUGAGUAGGGCGGGACACGUGGUAUCCUGUCUGAAUAUGGGGGGACCAUCCUCCAAGGCUAAAUACUCCUGACUGACCGAUAGUGAACCAGUACCGUGAGGGAAAGGCGAAAAGAACCCCGGCGAGGGGAGUGAAAAAGAACCUGAAACCGUGUACGUACAAGCAGUGGGAGCACAGGUUUACCUGUGUGACUGCGUACCUUUUGUAUAAUGGGUCAGCGACUUAU
Molecule: ribosomal RNA, 587 nt
Filed under: Salmonella enterica subsp. enterica serovar Newport
Lineage: Bacteria; Pseudomonadati; Pseudomonadota; Gammaproteobacteria; Enterobacterales; Enterobacteriaceae
Description: partial 23S ribosomal RNA
Rfam family: Bacterial large subunit ribosomal RNA
Source: RNAcentral